GAGGUAGUAACACGUAGGUAGACCCCCCAGAGUCGGGCAUAGCCAGCCGAAAGGUUGGGUAAUUCCCGAUAGUCCCGAAAGGGUAAAGGUUUUUUCGCUCUGGGAGUUGCCUGCGUAGUAUCAGCUAGUUGGUAGGGUAAUGGCCUACCAAGGCUACGACGCUUAGGGGAGCUGAGAGGCUGACCCCCACCGAUGGAACUGCGACACGGUCCAUACUCCUACGGGAGGCUGCAGACGAGAAUAUUCCGCAAUGGGCGAAAGCCUGACGGAGCGACGCCGCGUGAUUGAUGAAGUGCUUCGGUACGUAAAGAUCUUUUAUCGGGGACGAAGUUUAUUGACGGUACCCGAUGAAUAAGGGGCUCCUAACUCUGUG
This 373-nucleotide ribosomal RNA is filed under the name uncultured bacterium. RNAcentral's name for it is "bacterial SSU rRNA". It matches the Rfam family "Bacterial small subunit ribosomal RNA", at positions 100 to 507 of the family's 1533-position model. The record is from RNAcentral.